Molecule: long non-coding RNA, 1108 nt
Filed under: Anas platyrhynchos platyrhynchos (common mallard)
Lineage: Eukaryota; Metazoa; Chordata; Aves; Anseriformes; Anatidae
Description: lncRNA (ENSAPLG00000026196.1)
Source: RNAcentral
AAGAAAGAGCGGAGACGUUUUUGGGGAAUGAACGGAGGCGUUUUUGGGGGAAAGAAAGAGCGGAGAAUUUUGGGGAACGAGUGGAGAAUUUUGGGGAACGAGCGGAGAAGUUUUUGGGGAGAGAAAGAGAGGAGAAGUUGUUUGGGGAAAGAAAGAGCAGAGAAUUUUGGGGAAAGAGCGGAGAAAAUUUGGGGAAAGAAAGAGCGGAGACGUUUUUGGGGGACGAGCGGAAAAUUUGGGGGAAAGAAAGAGCGGAGACGUUUUUGGGGAACGAGCGGAAAAUUUGGGGAAAGAAAGAGCGGAGGCAUUUUUGGGGAAGGAAAGAGUGGAGACUUUUUGGGGAAAGAGCGGAGAAUUUUGGGGAACGAGCAGAAAAAAGUUUGGGGAAAAAAAGAGCGGAGGCGUUUUUUGGGGAAGAAAGAGCGGAGAAAAGUUUUUGGGGGACGAGCGGAGAAAAAUUUGGGGAAAGAACGGAGAAUUUUGGGGAACGAGCGGAGAAGUUUUUGGGGAAAGAGCGGAGAAAAGUUUGGGGAACAAGCGGAGAAAAUUUGGGAAACGAGCGGAGACGUUUUUGGGGGAAGAGCGGAGGAGUUUGGGGAACGAGCGGAGAAAAUUUGGGGAAAGAGCGGAGAAAAUUUGGGGAAAGAAAGAGCGGAGGCGUUUUUGGGGAAGGAAAGAGUGGAGACUUUUUGGGGAAAGAGCGGAGAAUUUUGGGGAACGAGCAGAAAAAAGUUUGGGGAAAAAAAGAGCGGAGGCGUUUUUGGGGAAGGAAAGAGCGGAGAAUUUUGGGGAAUGAGUGGAGACGUUUUUGGGGAAAGAGUGGAGGAGUUUGGGGCCAGGUGGAACCAGUUGGCUGGAGGAGUUGAGUGGAUUGGGUUGGCCAACUGGAAGAGGUCUACUGGAAGGGUCUUACUGGGAGGACCUAGCCAACUGGGAAGGUCUUACUGGGAGGACCUAGCCAACUGGAAGGGUCUAUCCAACUGGAAGGACCUAGCCUACUGGAAAGGUCUUACUGGGAGGACCUAGCCAACUGGAAGGGUCUUACUGGGAGGACCUAGCGUACUGGAAGGGUCUUGUCUACUGGAAGGGUCUAUCCAACUGGGAAGGU